GAUGAACGCUGGCGGCGUGCCUAAUACAUGCAAGUCGAGCGAACAGACGAGGAGCUUGCUCCUCUGACGUUAGCGGCGGACGGGUGAGUAACACGUGGAUAACCUACCUAUAAGACUGGGAUAACUUCGGGAAACCGGAGCUAAUACCGGAUAACAUGUUGAACCGCAUGGUUCAACAGUGAAAGACGGUCUUGCUGUCACUUAUAGAUGGAUCCGCGCCGCAUUAGCUAGUUGGUAAGGUAACGGCUUACCAAGGCAACGAUGCGUAGCCGACCUGAGAGGGUGAUCGGCCACACUGGAACUGAGACACGGUCCAGACUCCUACGGGAGGCAGCAGUGGGGAAUCUUCCGCAAUGGGCGAAAGCCUGACGGAGCAACACCGCGUGAGUGAAGAAGGUCUUCGGAUCGUAAAACUCUGUUAUUAGGGAAGAACAAAUGUGUAAGUAACUAUGCACGUCUUGACGGUACCUAAUCAAAAAGCCACGGCUAACUACGUG
This 497-nucleotide ribosomal RNA is filed under the name uncultured bacterium. RNAcentral's name for it is "partial 16S ribosomal RNA". It matches the Rfam family "Bacterial small subunit ribosomal RNA", at positions 28 to 507 of the family's 1533-position model. The record is from RNAcentral.